Molecule: ribosomal RNA, 519 nt
Filed under: uncultured Glomus
Lineage: Eukaryota; Fungi; Glomeromycota; Glomeromycetes; Glomerales; Glomeraceae
Description: SSU rRNA
Rfam family: Eukaryotic small subunit ribosomal RNA
Source: RNAcentral
CAGCCGCGUAAUUCCAGCUCCAAUAGCGUAUAUUAAAGUUGUUGCAGUUAAAAAGCUCGUAGUUGAAUUUCGGGGUCAGUAGGUCGGUCGUGCCACUGGUAUGAACUGGUUUUACUGAUUCCUCCCUCUUGAAGAACUGUAAUGCCAUUAAUUUGGUGUUGCAGGGAAUCAGGACUGUUACUUUGAAAAAAUUAGAGUGUUUAAAGCAGGCUUUAGCUUGAAUACAUUAGCAUGGAAUAAUGAAAUAGGACGUUUGAUCCUAUUUUGUUGGUUUCUAGGAUUGACGUAAUGAUUAAUAGGGAUAGUUGGGGGCAUUAGUAUUCAAUUGUCAGAGGUGAAAUUCUUGGAUUUAUUGAAGACUAACUACUGCGAAAGCAUUUGCCAAGGAUGUUUUCAUUAAUCAAGAACGAAAGUUAGGGGAUCGAAGACGAUCAGAUACCGUCGUAGUCUUAACCAUAAACUAUGCCGACUAGGGAUCGGAUGAUGUUAAUUUUUUAAUGACUCAUUCGGCGCCUUACG